RNAcentral lists this non-coding RNA (46 nucleotides) under Trichobilharzia regenti. The record is from RNAcentral. Lineage: Eukaryota; Metazoa; Platyhelminthes; Trematoda; Strigeidida; Schistosomatidae.
GUACUGUUGAAGAGUCCCAAACUAGGAUGAAACUGCUGUCCAGUAC